AACGCUAGCUACAGGCUUAACACAUGCAAGUCGAGGGGCAGCAUGAUUGAAGCUUGCUUCAAUUGAUGGCGACCGGCGCACGGGUGAGUAACACGUAUCCAACCUUCCGUACACUCAGGGAUAGCCUUUCGAAAGAAAGAUUAAUACCUGAUGGUAUCUUAAGCACACAUGUAAUUAAGAUUAAAGAUUUAUCGGUGUACGAUGGGGAUGCGUUCCAUUAGGUAGUAGGCGGGGUAACGGCCCACCUAGCCUACGAUGGAUAGGGGUUCUGAGAGGAAGGUCCCCCACAUUGGAACUGAGACACGGUCCAAACUCCUACGGGAGGCAGCAGUGAGGAAUAUUGGUCAAUGGACGAGAGUCUGAACCAGCCAAGUAGCGUGAAGGAUGAAGGUCCAACGGAUUGUAAACUUCUUUUAUAAGGGAAUAAAACCUCCCACGUGUGGGGGCUUGUAUGUACCUUAUGAAUAAGCAUCGGCUAACUCCGUGCCAGCAGCCGCGGUAAUACGGAGGAUGCGAGCGUUAUCCGGAUUUAUUGGGUUUAAAGGGAGCGCAGACGGGUCGUUAAGUCAGCUGUGAAAGUUUGGGGCUCAACCUUAAAAUUGCAGUUGAUACUGGCGUCCUUGAGUGCGGUUGAGGUGUGCGGAAUUCGUGGUGUAGCGGUGAAAUGCUUAGAUAUCACGAAGAACUCCGAUUG
RNAcentral lists this ribosomal RNA (694 nucleotides) under uncultured bacterium. RNAcentral describes it as "bacterial SSU rRNA". It matches the Rfam family "Bacterial small subunit ribosomal RNA", at positions 32 to 715 of the family's 1533-position model. The record is from RNAcentral.